Molecule: long non-coding RNA, 679 nt
Organism: Dromaius novaehollandiae (emu)
Lineage: Eukaryota; Metazoa; Chordata; Aves; Casuariiformes; Dromaiidae
Exons: 2
Source: RefSeq, a predicted model, not a curated record
CACUUAUCUCUGUUGGAUUGGGUUAUAGAACAGUGUUCUCCAUCAGUUCCUGGUCUUCAAACCCAAGGACGUCGUAAUGCCCACAGGGCAGUACCGCUCCCUUGGCAGAGAAUCAUCCUCCUUCCUCCCAGAGCGAGCGAGGGCCGGGAGCACGUGCUCAGUUUUACGCACAUGCUGAAGUUGCACUGAAGUAAGUGCUUUGCUGACUCAGAGCAUCGAUUCUUGCUCGCACGGUACAUAGCCUUUUACUGCUGUCUGCGCGGAGGUGGAUUCGCCAGGACCACAGGUGAGGAGACCUCGUUACACGCUGCACACUGCCAGGUCUGCACGGUAUUGAUUACUCAUAGGUAUGUUUGGAGUGGAGUUGUCUCCGUACUAGUUGAAGUACAGGGUGUUCAGUGUUUAUUGUGCUCUUAACAAAGUCUGUUAUCAGCAAGUUUGAAGUUUGUUGCUAUCUUCUAGCGUCUUAGACUAAUCACAGUAAUGAAGGCAUUGAACAGAGCCCUUCUCAGGUGGCAUUUACCAUUGUUUGCUGCAGAUAACAUAAAGCUUUCUGAUUACAGUCGGCUUUUAUCACUUCAGAGCAAAUCUACUCCACUGAAAUGUGCUAAUAAAACCCACGGAAGCAACAAACUGGAAAGAAGUGUUACAGCAAUAAAGGAACAUGAGGGAAAAUGUA